CACAGAUCUCUUAAGAACUUUCUGUCUCCAAACCGUGGCUGCUCGAUAAAUCAGACAGAACAGUUAAUCCUCAAUUUAAGCCUGAUCUAACCCUUAGAAACAGGAAUUAAGGAUAACCUAGAUGACAUAAAGAGGAUAAUUAAAGCCAGAGAGCACAGAAAUAGGCUUCUAGCAGACAUCAGAGACUACAAGCCCUAUGCAGACUUGGUUUCAGAAAUUCGUAUUCUUUUGGUGGGUCCAAUUGGGUCUGGAAAGUCCAGUUUUUUCAAUUCAGUCAAGUCUAUUUUUCAUGGCCAUGUGACUGGCCAAGCCGUAGUGGGGUCUGAUAUCACCAGCAUAACCGAGCGGUAUAGGAUAUAUUCUGUUAAAGAUGGAAAAAAUGGAAAAUCUCUGCCAUUUAUGUUGUGUGACACUAUGGGGCUAGAUGGGGCAGAAGGAGCAGGACUGUGCAUGGAUGACAUUCCCCACAUCUUAAAAGGUUGUAUGCCAGACAGAUAUCAGUUUAAUUCCCGUAAACCAAUUACACCUGAGCAUUCUACUUUUAUCACCUCUCCAUCUCUGAAGGACAGGAUUCACUGUGUGGCUUAUGUCUUAGACAUCAACUCUAUUGACAAUCUCUCCUCUAAAAUGUUGGCAAAAGUCAAGCAAGUUCACAAAGAAGUAUUAAACUGUGGUAUAGCAUAUGUGGCCUUGCUUACUAAAGUGGAUGAUUGCAGUGAGGUUCUUCAAGACAACUUUUUAAACAUGAGUAGAUCUAUGACUUCUCAAAGCCAGGUCAUGAAUGUCCAUAAAAUGCUAGGCAUUCCUAUUUCCAAUAUUUUGAUGGUUGGAAAUUAUGCUUCAGAUUUGGAACUGGACCCCAUGAAGGAUAUUCUGAUCCUCUCUGCACU
RNAcentral lists this small RNA (890 nucleotides) under Pan troglodytes (chimpanzee). RNAcentral's name for it is "processed transcript". The record is from RNAcentral. Lineage: Eukaryota; Metazoa; Chordata; Mammalia; Primates; Hominidae.